AUUGAACGCUGGCGGCAGGCUUAACACAUGCAAGUCGAGCGGGGUGAUGGUGCUUGCACUAUCACUUAGCGGCGGACGGGUGAGUAAUGCUUAGGAAUCUGCCUAUUAGUGGGGGACAACAUCUCGAAAGGGAUGCUAAUACCGCAUACGUCCUACGGGAUAAAGCAGGGGAUCACUUGUGACCUUGCGCUAAUAGAUGAGCCUAAGUCGGGUUAGCUAGUGGGUGGGGUAAAGGCCUACCAAGGCGACGAUCUGUAGCGGGUCUGAGAGGAUGAUCCGCCACACUGGGACUGAGACACGGCCCAGACUCCUACGGGAGGCAGCAGUGGGGAAUAUUGGACAAUGGGGAACCCUGAUCCAGCCAUGCCGCGUGUGUGAAGAAGGCCUUAUGGUUGUAAAGCACUUUAAGCGAGGAGGAGGCUCUUUUGGUUAAUACCCAAGAUGAGUGGACGUUACUCGCAGAAUAAGCACCGGCUAACUCUGUGCCAGCCGCCGCGGUAA
RNAcentral lists this ribosomal RNA (501 nucleotides) under uncultured bacterium. RNAcentral describes it as "partial 16S ribosomal RNA". It matches the Rfam family "Bacterial small subunit ribosomal RNA", at positions 30 to 523 of the family's 1533-position model. The record is from RNAcentral.